Molecule: ribosomal RNA, 868 nt
Filed under: uncultured bacterium
Lineage: Bacteria
Description: bacterial SSU rRNA
Rfam family: Bacterial small subunit ribosomal RNA
Source: RNAcentral
AGAGUUGAUCCUGGCUCAGGACGAACGCUGGCGGCGUGCUUUACCCAUGCAAGUCGGACGGUCCAGCAAUGGACAGUGGCAGACCGCUGAGUAACGCGUGAGUACUUAUCUAUCAGAGGGGGAUAGCCAUCCGAAAGGGUGGGUAAUACCGCGUACGAUCCUUUCGGGGAUGAGAGCAGAGAUGCGCUGAUGGAGGGGCUUGCGUCCCAUCAGGUAGUUGGUAAAGUGAUGGCUUACCAAGCCGAUGACGGGUAGCUGGUCUGAGAGGAUGAUCAGCCAGACUGGGACUGAGAGACGGCCCAGACUCCUACGGGGGGCAGCAGGGGGGAAUCUUGCACAAUGGGCGAAAGCCUGAUGCAGCGACGCCGCGUGAAGGAAGAAGGGUUUCGGCCUGUAAACUUCUUUUGAUGGGGACGAUGAUGACGGUACCCAUCGAAUAAGCCCCGGCUAACUACGUGCCAGCAGCCGCGGUAAUACGUAGGGGGCGAGCGUUGUCCGGAUUUACUGGGCGUAAAGAGCGCGUAGGCGGCAUGUUAAGUUGGCUGUGAAAGGCCCUGGCUCAACUGGGGUAAGUCGGCCAAGACUGGCAAGCUUGAGAGCGGUAGAGGGAAGUGGAAUUCCGGGUGUAGUGGUGAAAUGCGUAGAUAUCCGGAGGAACACCGGUAGCGAAGGCGGCUUUCUGGGCCGUUUCUGACGCUGAGGCGCGAAAGCGUGGGUAGCGAACUGAAUUAGAUACUCAGGUAGUCCACGCCCUAAACGAUGGACGCUAGGUGUAGGGGGUAUCGACCCCUCCUGUGCCGAAGCAAACGCAUUAAGCGUCCCGCCUGGGGAGUACGGCCGCAAGGCUAAAACUCAAAGGAAUUGACGG